GAAAAACCUCAAAAUAUAUUUUCUAUUCUUAAUACCACUUAGGUCAGUUCUUUGGUAUCAGUUGUUUUGGGGGUUUCUUUCAUACAUCAAGCAAUUCUCCCACUGAAAUCAGCUAGGCACUCUUUAAUUUAACUCAGGUUUUGCACUGUCUGUCCAUUGUGUCAGGCUAAGGGCCCGAUUCCAUAGAUUACCCUUCACUUCAGCUGCCAUUACGAGUCUUUGGUUGUGACCUAACCUCUGAUAGACCAGCUGUAAUUAUUGUUUCGUGUCCUUCUUGGGUUUCAUUAACUUUCUAGGACUGCUUACCAAAAAAAAAUGCCAGAGAAAACCUUUUAAGUUUUCCAUUUAUUGUAAUUCAGAUAAAAGACAUGCAAAAAAUGAGGUGGUCAUUGAAUAUGGAAGCUGGCUUGUCAUAUCAGCUCUAAGCACAAAUGUGAUUUUAGCCUUAUCCAAAGCCCUAGGCUAGCCUUGAAUGGAAGGUUUGUGAUUGAAGCAUCAUUCUGUCCUUGCUAUCAACUCAGCCUUCAUCCUUGAGAUCUUGGCUAAACUUGGCAAUUUUCUAACCACGUAAUUGUCUCUUAGUACUCAGGUCUAUUCUGAGGAACAGGUCAUUAGAAACACACUCACAGUCACUCAUCAACACAGGUAUUAUCACUCUUAUCAUUUAGGAGGUUCUAAAUCGGUUAGGUGCCUGUUUUAGGAGCUAGAGUCAAAGACCAAACAGCAGAACAAUGUUUUCCUAAUCCCACUAUUAAUUAGGAAAGUACAAAAGUCAGUGCUGUGUCAAGAGUUCAGAGUUUAAAGCUGGAGAGAUGAGAUGGCUCAGCAGUUAAGAGCACUUGUUGAUAUUGCAGAGGAAUGGAGCUCAGUUUCUAGCAUGAUGUUCUCAGACACUGUACAUACAUGUACAUAUGCAUGCAUGCAAAACACAUAAAUAUUU
This 940-nucleotide long non-coding RNA is filed under the name Mus musculus (house mouse). RNAcentral describes it as "long non-coding RNA chr12:3453862-3454802". Lineage: Eukaryota; Metazoa; Chordata; Mammalia; Rodentia; Muridae. The record is from RNAcentral.